GAGUUUGAUCCUGGCUCAGGAUGAACGCUGGCGGUAUGCCUAACACAUGCAAGUCGUACGAGAGUUUUAACUCUAGUGGCGGACGGGUGAGUAACGCGUGAGAAUUUGCCUUUAGGAGGGGGAUAACAAUUGGAAACGAAUGCUAAUACCCCAUAUGCUUUAGAGUGAAAUGGAUUUAUCCGCCUAAAGAGAAGCUCGCGUCUGAUUAGCUUGUUGGUAAGGUAAUGGCUUACCAAGGCGACGAUCAGUAUCUGGUUUGAGAGGACGAUCAGACACACUGGAACUGAGACACGGUCCAGACUCCUACGGGAGGCAGCAGUGGGGAAUUUUCCGCAAUGGCGCAAGCCUGACGGAGCAAUACCGCGUGAGGGAAGACUGCCUAUGGGUUGUAAACCUCUUUUUUCAGGGAGGAAUAAAAUGACGUGUACCUGAAGAAUAAGCAUCGGCUAACUCCGUGCCAGCAGCCGCGGUUAGACGGAGGAUGCAAGUGUUAUCCGGAAUCACUGGGCGUAAAGCGUCUGU
This 522-nucleotide ribosomal RNA is filed under the name uncultured bacterium. RNAcentral's name for it is "bacterial SSU rRNA". It matches the Rfam family "Bacterial small subunit ribosomal RNA", at positions 9 to 572 of the family's 1533-position model. The record is from RNAcentral.